Molecule: ribosomal RNA, 120 nt
Filed under: Helianthus annuus (common sunflower)
Lineage: Eukaryota; Viridiplantae; Streptophyta; Magnoliopsida; Asterales; Asteraceae
Source: RNAcentral
GGUUGCGACCAUACCAGCACUAAUGCACCGGAUCCCAUCUGAACUCCUCAGUUAAGCGUGCUUGGGCGAGAGUAGUACUAGGAUGGGUGACCCUUUGGGAAGUCCUCGUGUUACACCCUC